GACGAACGCUGGCGGCGUGCUUAACACAUGCAAGUCGAACGGAAAGGCCCUGCUUUUGUGGGGUGCUCGAGUGGCGAACGGGUGAGUAACACGUGAGUAACCUGCCCUUGACUUUGGGAUAACUUCAGGAAACUGGGGCUAAUACCGGAUAGGAGCUCCUGCUGCAUGGUGGGGGUUGGAAAGUUUCGGCGGUUGGGGAUGGACUCGCGGCUUAUCCGCUUGUUGGUGGGGUAGUGGCUUACCAAGGCUUUGACGGGUAGCCGGCCUGAGAGGUUGACCGGCCACAUUGGGACUAAGAUACGGCCCAGACUCCUACGGGAGGCAGCAGUGGGGAAUAUUGCACAAUGGGCGGAAGCCUGAUGCAGCAACGCCGCGUGCGGGAUGACGGCCUUCGGGUUGUAAACCGCUUUCGCCUGUGACGAAGCGUGAGUGACGGUAAUGGGUAAAGAAGCACCGGCUAACUACGUG
This 468-nucleotide ribosomal RNA is filed under the name uncultured bacterium. Its description in RNAcentral is "partial 16S ribosomal RNA". It matches the Rfam family "Bacterial small subunit ribosomal RNA", at positions 28 to 507 of the family's 1533-position model. The record is from RNAcentral.